GCCAUCUUAGCUCAGUUGGUAGAGCGGCGGUAUCGUAAACCGCAGGUCACCGGUUCAAUCCCGGUAGAUGGCUCCA
This 76-nucleotide transfer RNA is filed under the name Candidatus Peregrinibacteria bacterium. Its description in RNAcentral is "tRNA-Thr". It matches the Rfam family "tRNA". From Rfam's summary of the family: Transfer RNA (tRNA) molecules are approximately 80 nucleotides in length. Their secondary structure includes four short double-helical elements and three loops (D, anti-codon, and T loops). Further hydrogen bonds mediate the characteristic L-shaped molecular structure. tRNAs have two regions of fundamental functional importance: the anti-codon, which is responsible for specific mRNA codon recognition, and the 3' end, to which the tRNAs corresponding amino acid is attached (by aminoacyl-tRNA synthetases). tRNAs cope with the degeneracy of the genetic code in two manners: having more than one tRNA (with a specific anti-codon) for a particular amino acid; and 'wobble' base-pairing, i.e. permitting non-standard base-pairing at the 3rd anti-codon position. Lineage: Bacteria; Candidatus Peregrinibacteriota. The record is from RNAcentral.